CAUGUCGCGCCACUGUAGUGGCUUCUUCCUCUGCCUUUCUCUUCCUCUGCUGUCGCCUCCCAACUCUCGUCAGCCUCCAGCCGGCCAUCUCCUUAACACAGAACACCAUGCCUUCAAUUAAGUCGCAGAGUUCUGGUGGAGAGAUAUUUGAAGUUGAUGUGGAAAUUGUCAAACAAUCUGUGACUAUCAAGAUCAUGUUGGAAGAUUUGGGAAGGAAUGAUGAAGAAGAUAAUGACCCAGUUCCUCUACCAAAUGUUAAUGCAGCAAUAUUUAAAAAGGUCAUUCAGUGGUGCACCCACCACAAGGAUGACCCUCCUCCUCCCGAAGAUGAUGAAAACAAAGAAAGGUGAACAGACGAUAUCGCUGUUUGGGACCAAGAAUUCCUGAAAGUUGACCAAGGAACACUUUUUGAACUCAUUCUCGCUGCAAACUACUUAGACUUCAAAGGUUUGCUUGAUGUUACAUGCAAGACUAUUGCCAAUAUGGUCAAGAGGAAAACUCCUGAGGAGAUUCACAAGACCUUCAAUAUAAAAAAUGACUUUACUGAAAAGCGGGAAGCCCAGGUACGCCAAGAGAACCAGCGGUAUGAAGAGAAGUGA
Nomascus leucogenys (northern white-cheeked gibbon) is the source of this 599-nucleotide RNA transcript. It is a transcript of the gene named S-phase kinase-associated protein 1-like, with no coding region annotated. Lineage: Eukaryota; Metazoa; Chordata; Mammalia; Primates; Hylobatidae. The record is from RefSeq and is a predicted model, not a curated record. The transcript is spliced from 2 exons.